CCGGGAAACGGGGGCUAAUACCGGAGAGGUCGAAAGAUGAAAGGUUAACUGCCUGAAGAGGGGCUCGCGUCUGAUUAUCUUGUAGGUGUGGUAAGAGCGCACCUAGGCAACAAUUAGUAGGUGGUCUGAGAGGAUGACCACCCACACUGGGACUGAGACACGGCCCAGACUCCUCCGGGAGGCAGCAGUGGGGAAUUUUCCACAAUGGGCGAAAGCCUGACGGAGCAAGACCGCGUGGGGGAGGAAGGCCUUUGGGUUGUACACCCCUUUUGUUAGGGAAAAAAAAAAUGACGGUCCCUAACGAAUCCCCCUCGGAUAACUCCGUGCCAGCCCCCGGGGUUAUACGGAGGAGGCAAGUUUUAUCCGGAAUUAUUGGGCGUAAAGCGUCCGUAGGUGGCCCGGCAAGUCUGCUGUCAAAGACCACAGCUCAUCUGUG
RNAcentral lists this ribosomal RNA (436 nucleotides) under Spirulina sp. CCC 483. RNAcentral's name for it is "partial 16S ribosomal RNA". It matches the Rfam family "Bacterial small subunit ribosomal RNA", at positions 149 to 617 of the family's 1533-position model. Lineage: Bacteria; Bacillati; Cyanobacteriota; Cyanophyceae; Spirulinales; Spirulinaceae. The record is from RNAcentral.